GAGUUUCUAAGAAAGGAAUCUAGUGAGCGCACGGCAGCGUGUCCGGUUAGUUGGGAAGAAGAGGCUUAACACUGCUGCUUUCUCUUCAAAGCCUCCACCAGGUCGUUCUUAAGAGCUUCUUGUUUUGAUUUGUCUGCAAAAGUCUGCACAGACCUGUCCGGGGAGAAGAAUUGUCAUUAGCAGGCUGAACAGGAAGAGUGCAGCGGCGAGGGGCCGAGGGCUGCCCUGCCGGUGCGUCCAGGGCGAGGGGCCGGGUCACUGGGCUGGGUGCCCCCUUCCCCAUCCUCUGGGAGUGCGAGCUGCAAGCUGUGCGGAGGGGGCAGAGGGGCCCAGAGCCCGAGGCCGGCCCCGCGGGGGAGGCCACGGCCCACCUCUGCACCAGGCUGGGCAUGACCUGGACUCUGGGGCACAGAUCCCAAUGUCAGCCUGAAUCAGAAGUGGGCCUCCAAGCACGCCACAGCAGAGACCGUCUGUGCUUCAGCCCAGCUGUGGACUCAGGCCAGAGGCCGAGAGAUAAGGACCCCGUUACAAAGCACGGGGUGCAGGGCUGGCCACCCGGCGAGCAUUAGGAACCGGCACCUCGGACGUCUGAGCCCACUGCCUGGGCAGCACCUGCGGGCAGGCACUUUUAGGCUUCGGCUGCAAGGCACCAUCAGCUGUUAACUUGGCCAAGAAAAUCCCUCAGCCUGAACUUCAAGAGGCAGGAGGGGACAGUUUCAAAGCAGUGGAAAGAAAGAGUGGAAGGCUACCUUGCAGGAAUGCUGUGGAGCCACGGGAAUGUCACGCUUGACACGCACUGGCCGUGAAACAGAAUGGGAAGGAGAGACCCAAAAAUAAUCCCCCCCCCACCGAAUAUGGGUGAAAUGCAAUGAAGCAGGACCCAGGAGCAUCCCACGUGGAAUUCUGGCUACUGAGUCCUGGAAACGUCAUGGGAAGUGCCCUCGAGAUGGUAAAGGAGGAGGCAGAGACGAGGCUUUGAAAGAGUCUAUGCGCAGCUACAAAAAUUCCCACGAGAAACGCUGACACUUUUGGUUGAUGCCGCUGAAUACACUUUCCGGAGUGUUUGCUCUGCUCUGCUCUGCGACGGCCAAAGGGAGGGUCAGGCACCGGCCCUGGUGGCCCUCGGGCUGCAAACCUCAGCCAGCCCACCACGGGCUUCUGGAAAGCUCCCAGUGGGAGGCUAACUUGCCCAGCGGGAGGAUGCGGUGGGCGGAGUGGUGGCUCCCACGGCACCCCGGCCUGACUGGGGGCUGGCUCUUCUGGGAAGGGGCACGCCAGGCCUGGGCUGCACCCAGCCCCCCGCUACCCCCCAAAGGAGAAAUUUCCAGAGUUAGAACCAGGUAAGGAACAGGAGGUCAGGCUUGGAACGGCUGGAGGUGCAAGGAGCAGGACCCUCGUUUAGGGAAAGGAGCUCGGGAAGGUCACUGCCAAGCAGCUCGGAACCAAUGCCUGGAGGUGGGAAGGAGGGCCUGUCCUGGACAGAAGGUGCCAGGCUGCCCACUGCUGCAGGGGAUCUAUGUCAGAAAGCCUCCAGUGGGUGGCCACAGGACUAGCCGAGGUGAGGGAUCCAGAAGAUUCUAGACCCACCCUAAAAGCUGAGGGGCUGGAGAGGAAACUGCACCAUAUGGAACGCCUUAAAAGGGGCUUUCUUAAUGCUCUGAUGGGAGUGCAACGGUCCGAGCAUGAGGCUGGAGGCUGACAGACGCCCCAGGCCUGAUGCUGGUACACACACACACACACCAGACUGUGCUGCGGUCCCACGGCUGCAGAAGAGCCGCUCCGCCUGGUUGCACAGGCGCCCCACCUCUGUCCCCCCCACUGGGCCUCUUCCGGGUCAGGGUCUCCGAGUCCAGCCCCUGGGCCUGGGAAGAAGCCCCUAAGCCCAGGCCCUACAGCCCUGCCCAGCUGGGUUUCCAAACGCCUCUUAUUAAAACCAGUUUCCCUGCUC
Molecule: long non-coding RNA, 1948 nt
Organism: Lagenorhynchus albirostris (white-beaked dolphin)
Lineage: Eukaryota; Metazoa; Chordata; Mammalia; Artiodactyla; Delphinidae
Exons: 2
Source: RefSeq, a predicted model, not a curated record